This 108-nucleotide microRNA precursor is filed under the name Paramuricea clavata. The record is from RNAcentral. Lineage: Eukaryota; Metazoa; Cnidaria; Anthozoa; Malacalcyonacea; Plexauridae.
GAAUUUUCCGCGCGGAGCAGAAUUUCUCUCUGUCUUUUCUAAUUAGUUCCACCCGAGAAAUCACAAGAUAAAGAAAAAUUCCGCUCCGCGCGGAAAAUUCUGCCUAGU